This 450-nucleotide ribosomal RNA is filed under the name uncultured bacterium. Its description in RNAcentral is "partial 16S ribosomal RNA". It matches the Rfam family "Bacterial small subunit ribosomal RNA", at positions 354 to 796 of the family's 1533-position model. The record is from RNAcentral.
GUGGGGAAUAUUGGACAAUGGGCGAAAGCCUGAUCCAGCCAUGCCGCGUGUGUGAAGAAGGUCUUCGGAUUGUAAAGCACUUUAAGUUGGGAGGAAGGGCAGUAAGUUAAUACCUUGCUGUUUUGACGUUACCGACAGAAUAAGCACCGGCUAACUUCGUGCCAGCAGCCGCGGUAAUACGAAGGGUGUAAGCGUUAAUCGGAAUUACUGGGCGUAAAGCGCGCGUAGGUGGUUUUGUAAGUUGGAGGUGAAAUCCCCGGGCUCAACCUGGGAACUGCCUCCAAAACUACAUGACUAGAGUACGGUAGAGGGUAGUGGAAUUUCCUGUGUAGCGGUGAAAUGCGUAGAUAUAGGAAGGAACACCAGUGGCGAAGGCGACUACCUGGACUGAUACUGACACUGAGGUGCGAAAGCGUGGGGAGCAAACAGGAUUAGAUACCCGGGUAGUCC